AUCGUGCAAUGCUUCAUGCCCAGUGCCGUUCACUCCCAGGUCGUUUUCUCUUUCAGCUGCAAUGCCGGGAUUUUAAAUAGCAGAAAUGAAAGGCCCCUGCCCCCGCCUCCCUCCUCCCCUGAGUUCAUGUAUUAUGAAUGAAACGCCAGCCUCGCUGCUUCCCUGAGGUUGCUCCACUUCAGGUUCCAAGUAGAGUGUAAUGGAAAGAGUCUGGACCCUGGUGCUAUUCCCAGUUCCUCUGCUAACUUGCUAUGUGACCAUAGUCUCUCGGUAGAUCCUUCAUCUCAUCAGUGAAGUGGAGUCAGUACUACCACCCACUUUGGAAGAAUUGUUUUGAAGAUUAAAAGAGUUACUGAUCAUUUA
Long non-coding RNA from Saimiri boliviensis boliviensis (Bolivian squirrel monkey), 363 nucleotides. RefSeq lists it as uncharacterized. Lineage: Eukaryota; Metazoa; Chordata; Mammalia; Primates; Cebidae. The record is from RefSeq and is a predicted model, not a curated record.